UGGUUGGAGCAAGCAAGUUCUUUUAUGGAUGUCAUCUUUGGCAUGGAUUGACGACCUCCAAGUAGAAGCUUUCCUCUGAUCAGAUCACCAGGCCUACUCAAUCGUGGUCCUCGAUGAACAUGAGAUAAAAGUAACUUGGCCUGCUUACAAAGUACAAGCUUCCAAGUGCAAGCUUCCUCUUGGUAACUCUAACAUAGACUGGAGUAGCUUUUAGAGGCUACCAGCUACUCCUAGAGUCCGUAACUUUCUGCUUAAAACUUCAUAGAACACUUUUUCUCAUUUCGGACAGACUUGCUGCUUUAAAUAUUUCCCUAGUUCAUCAAUUUUGGUGCUGCAGAAUAUGAGACUGAAUCCAUCCAUAAUAGAUCGUAUCUUCUUUUCUUGUCAAUUUGCUUGAGAGUUUUGGAACUACUUUCAGAUCUAUUUGAAUGAACUUUCCACCUAAUCUAAUCGAAUGAUUGGCUUAAAGAAGAGCUUUUCGUCUAUGGCAAAUGCAUUCAUUAAUCAUUAAUCACUAUGGCAUGCCUGAAAUCAUACUCGCUCUAAGCUUAAAAGCCUCCUCUUCAAAGUAUUAGCAUAUGCUGCUUCUUACUUAUUAGAUGCUAAUAUGUUUUGAAUGGAAACCACCCAAUUAUAACUGGUUUAAGCUGAAGAUUGAUACAUCUUCUUGGUCUACUGAUCAUGCAUAUGGUAUUACUCUUCAUUAUUCUAUUGAAAGCUGUGUAAUUGUAGAUGCUGAAUGUAUUUUUGAUAGUAGUGAUGUUGGGGUUAUGACGAAAUUUUAAUUUCAUUGGAGCUUUAAAAUAUUUUUAUUUAGAUAGAUUACAAAUCAUAUCGGUUUUUCUUGUUAUGAUUUAAACAAAGUUGAAGGUUUAUUUAGCGACAAAUUUAUAUAUCUUAUUAUGAUGAUGGAUUGUGGUCUGAAAUCCAUCUAAUUAAUUUGUAUGCAUAAAUAUUUUAUCUAAUGAUUUUAUACAUCUAAAAAAAAAAUUGGUCUAAUAAUUUAAUCUAAAAUAUUCUAUCCAAUUUAUUGAGAAUAUUAACUUCGAUCUGCGAAUUCUCUCUCUACCGCUAGCUCUUAGGGUUUCGAGGUGUUUUGCUUUUUAGGCGCAGUCGGUGACGGUUUUGGUGAAUACGGUGUUGGUGACGGUUUGUGUCUUCGGACAAGAAGAGGAGACCGAUGAAGAGGUCACCGGCAUCCUCUCUCUUCUCCAAAACCCUCUACUUCAUCUAUCGCCCUCGUCCCGCCGAUGCUCUACUUUCCUCCUCCUCCUCUGACUCCGUCGCCGCUACCGGAAGCGGAGCUCUUCAGCCCAGCUUCAUGUCCGAAUACCUCGUCACGUCAUGUGGCUUCUCCCCGGAGAAGGCGACCAAGGCCUCGAAUCUCCUCGGCGGCAUCGCGUCCCGCCGGCAGCCCGACUCCGUCCUUGGCUUUCUCAAAAGCCACGGUUUCGACGACACCCAUGUGAAAGAGCUGCUGUCUGGGAACCCCCGGUGGCUUCUCCUCGACGUGGAGAAGACCCUGGCCGCCAAGUUCCGAGCUCUCCAGGAGUUAGGCUUCUCACAGUCCGACAUCACCCAACUCGUCCUGACCAAUCCCUCCGCAAUCAACUACCACAUCCGCACCGUCGUGCACAGGAUCCGGUUUUGGCAGGGACUCAUCGGAUCCAACGACCUCCUCAUAAAGCUCUGUAAUCACCACCAGUGGCUUCUCGGGUAUAGCGUCGAGAAGAGGAUCCAGCCAAACAUCGAUAUGCUACGGAGCUGUGGAUUCACGGAUCAAAAGCUUAGAACGAUCCUGGGGUACCACCCCACGUUGGUAACCCAGAGGGCGGAAACCUUGAGGACCUUGAUCAGUCGUGUCGAGGGAUUCGGAGUAGCCCGCACCUCGCCGAGGUUCCACUUGACUCUGUGGAUGCUCUCCAAUGUUAGCGUGGAGAGAUUCAAUGCGCAAAAGAAGCUAUUCGGGGCCUUCGGGUGGUCAGAGGCCGACUUCCUCGACGCAUUCAAAAAGACUCCUGGUUUCUUGACAAGUUCCUUGAAGAAUCUGAAGAUGAAAAUGGAAUUCUUGGUGAAUGAGGCUGGAUAUGCUCCGUCUUAUAUCGCCCUCCGGCCUGUGCUUUUGACAUAUAGUUUAGAGAAAAGGGUGAUCCCAAGAUAUCAGCUCAUGGCAGCCCUGAAGUCCAGGGGGCUGUGCGCUGGUCAUCCCAAAUUGUUCACAUAUAUCUCGUGUUCAGAGAAGAAGUUCUUGGAAAGGUAUGUCAUCAUCUACAAGAAGCAGUUUCCGGAGCUCAUUGAAUUGUACAGUGCGAGAAAAUAGUAGUUCUGGAUUUGCUAGCUGUAGAUUUUGGUUCCUGCAAUCCAUGGUUUCAGGUUCCAGCCUUUUACCCUCUGCUUAACUUGAUCUGCAGUUUGAGACUUAUUAGUAUUAUGAUUUAUGUCAUUUGCUUCCUUUUUUUCUGGUGCAUUAAGAGGAAUGUAGCUGCAUACAUGUAGAAAGAAAGGAAAGCAAUAUGAAGUGGAACACAAUGACUUCUUGUAGCAUGUUGAUUCGGUCAAUUGUUUCCUGAUAAUUACCUGCAUAGGAAAAAUUAGAUACUGUAGGAAUUUGUAGGAAUUGAGACUGUUGUCCCAUUCUUUUUUUUUAACCUACUUCUGGGAACACAUUUGGCAGACGUGUGUGCUUGUGUGUGUGUGUCGUGGUGACUAUGAAACUGAAACAAAUUCUUUGUUUGAUCUAUGGCUCUCCUUGAUGUGCAUUGAAGUAGAUGCUUUGCUUAUGUUGUAGCUGAUAUCAUUAUGUUAUCAUGAAGAAUUUUGAGAUGAUGGUUUCAAAGGUCACAUUACUAUUACACUAUGGAGUUAUGGUUGCAUCGUUUUUUUCUCCUUUGAUGAAAAAUUGGUGCUUUUGAUCGAUUUUGACAUGAUACGUCGAAUCUGCAUGGAUGUUGUCUAAGAUUGAUCUAAUUUUGGUCGGUUUCUCAGCUGAAUCAGCUAGAAUCCGUUGAAAAUACUUGAGUUUAUUGAUUUUUGGGUGAAUUUUACACUACUUGAUGACCUCAAACUCAAAGGGAAGAAAAAAGAGGACGGAAGGAGAAGAAGAAAGAAAAGAGGAAAGUUGAGAUGGUGAAACGAUAAAAGAAAAAAGAGAAAACUGUGAUUGUGAUUCUAAAUCAGAGGAGGGAACAUUGCUUUUGCUUUGCUUGCUAUUCACUGCAUCCAUCCACUGCAUUUGUUGUUUGCUACUACAUCCAUCGGGUAGAAUAGAUGGAGGAUUACAGGCAAAAGGAAGAGGACAGAAGUAACCCAUAACCUAAUAUGAACUGUGCCUGCUCCUUAUAUUUAUUAAGUUUUAGCCAAUGAUUUUGAGACUUUGGAAAAUUGUGAACUAGUGAUUGCAUAGUGUCCAUAAUCAUGUAUACAUUGCAGAAGCACUUCUUAUUGUUUCGUCAGCAUCAGUAUAGAAUAGGCAGCAUGUUUGGUUGGUGCAAUCCGAUCAAUAAAAGAAAAUAUUUCACAGGUUUGUGGCUUGUGUUCGUGAGCCCUCUUCCCCUUACAUGCAAGCAUGAACGAUUGUUGUUGUCCGCUGUCCAUUGCUCUGUCAUUGAUUUCAGGUAUGCUUCCUCCACCUCUUCCUUCUGCUUCAUCCUCAUCCUCCACUAUUUACUCCUUUCUUCGUUUAACUCCUUACUCUUCCUUUUUUUUUUUGUCUUUCUCGAUGGUCUCAUCUUCUUUCUUCCUCUUUCUCCUCCCUACUCUUAAUACAUGGCUUUCUCUUUUUCUUCGUCCGCCUUCCUCUUUCUUCAUCCACUUUCAUUUGAUUCUUCCUUUUCGAGGCUUCAGAACAUACCGGUACAUAAUGUGUCAGUAUAUUGGUAUCUCAAUCUAUGGAUUGGUACGUAGCGGUCUGGGCAGAGACAGAUAAGUUACUAAUCAGUAAGAGACUAUAAACGCUGGUGCACUGCAAGCUUCAGUCGUACAAGUGCUCGACAACUUGGAAGAGUUUUCAUUUGCUGCUCAGUAUCUGCUACAAAGCUCUUCUAUCGUUAGCGGUGGAAGGUAAGUUUGUGUAUGUUAACACUACCCUGUAUACCACUGAAAAGUGCAUUUUACACAGAAUUAUGUUGUAUUGACGUUUUGGGGGAAAUUUUAGUUUAAAAUUUGCUGAAUUUGGCUCUUAUAAAAUGCAUUAACAGUUAAAAAAUGACAGCAUGAGUUGAUGAUUGCAUAGAUGUGAGCAAUAAGAUGCUAAAAUGGAUCCUAAUUCUACCUAAUAACUGGAUCAAAAUGAAAGUUUCAAUUAACCGGAUUAAUUCGUUGAUUAAAAUGAUCUAAAAAUUGUAUCCAAAUGGACGAAAUCGAUGAACCUUCUUAUCCUUCCAUGAAAAGAUAAUCCUCAAGGGGCAAAUGCAAGAUCGAAUCCGAUCAUACAACACCAUACAACACAUGAACCCUAAUCCUCAUGGAACGAGAUGGGUUAAACAAUGUGGACCUGGUUAGAAUUAAAUAUUUAUCCUAAUUUUAAUAACUAUUUAUAUAUAUUAUAUUUUGCAAUACCAACUGGAUCCGUGGCGCAAUGGUAGCGCGUCUGACUCCAGAUCAGAAGGUUGCGUGUUCGAUUCACGUCGGGUUCAACUUUACAAUAUUUUCACAUUUCGUUUUUGUUCCACUUGUGAUUGGAGCACUGAACGGCCCCACAAGUGGACCCCAUCCGAUUCUUACGCUCCUUUUCAAAUUUUCGAUUUCCUUUUUCUAUACCUUGUGAUUGGAUUACGGGACGGACCCACUAGUGGACCCCAUCGAUCAUAGCUCCCUUUCCUUGUGUGAGAAAUACAUUUAUAAAACACUAAUUUUAGCCUAAUUUCAAUCUAUCGAGAUGUCAAAAUAUCAGUAAAAAAGGAAGAAAAUUAGCUGAUAAAUGAACACAUGAAUAAAUUUGUGGCACAAAAUCUAGGUUCGAACAAUUACAUACAAUACGGUUUUAAAAAAUAACAUUAAUCUAAAUAUACACAAAUAUAUAUAUAUAUAUAUAUAUAUAUAUAUAUAUACCUCAUCCAAAUCCCCUUUCUUCCUGUCCCCAUUCUCCGUCCGCGAUACAUCGUCGUCGCUUUCCUUCGACAAAUGCGAAGAGAAGACAAAGAUUUGGAAUUCAACCGCUGGCCAAUUCGAAGCCCCAUUUGGUUUGGCUCCCCCCCUUCCGCCUUCCUCCCUUUUCUUGCUCCGAAUUAAAUCUUCUUAUGUGACGUUUGUCGUCUGAAACGACGAUUCUCUUUGGUAGCAUACAUUUGAUUCGUCUACACGAGGAGGAUUGUGGUUUGACUUAAAUGAGUACUGUGGGUUAUCAACUUGUUUUCAUGAUAAAGGGGAAUGACAAAGAAAGCCUGACAAAAUUGCCAACCAUGACAUGAAUCCCAACACAUUAUUAUGUUCCGCUGAAGUUUCAUUGGACUUAGCCUGAUUAAUUCUUUCAUUAAUUUGUUUAAUGCUUAUAAGGAGCAACAUACAGUUAGAUGACGUGUAGAAUGUAUCCAAAUUGUGAAAUUGGAGCUAUAAUUUCUCCCGUUGCACUACACAUUCGAUGACCUAGAAGUGGCAGAAAAUGAAAUAUAACUUUUACAUGGCAGUUUUAAUACUUAGAUGCAAGUGUUGGGAAUCUCAUUAGUUAUUGGAAUCGACAAGAUACUUUAUAUGAUCCACACGUCCGAUAAUAAUAAUGACCAAACACAUUUAUCAACUAGUCAUAAAUGAGAGACUUUUCAGAUAUUUAAAAUUAUUUUAAAUUGUUUUGAUGAUGAAAGAAAGCAUUAAGUAUACUUUUAAAAAAAAAUAAAGGAUUGAUGUUCCUUUUCUGGCCUAUCUAUACCAUUAAGGGAUAGACAUUAAGUUCCAUAAGACAUAGAAUAGAAGACACCAAUUGUUUCUUAAUAAAUUAAUCUAAGGAAUCCACUAUGUGAAUUAAUCAAAGGCUUAUUUUUGGACAACUAUGACUCAAGGUAAGUUUAUUUCGUUGCAUGUCCAUUAUAAAUCCAUUGUUUUGCUUACAACAAGAACAUUUCAAAUCUGUAUGUAUAUGAGUUUUCUGAUCUAUUGUUCUCAAUAUUAUUUUUUAAAACUACAUAGAAAGAAAACAAAAGUGGUGAAUAAAAAUGUAAUAUUUAGAUGGUAAUUUUAACUUUUAGAUACAAGUGCACUUCGAGCCUGUAUGCCUUUGCAUUUAAUAAUUAUUCUUUUUGAAUAUUGUUCUCCGACACUACUUAGAAAGAAAACAUAAGAAGGUGCUACAAAGGUGCAUACACAGACUUCUUGUAUCUGUGCUGCAAGAAGUACUUGUGACACUUGUUCUAUGGCACAAAAUGUGCUGUUGGUUUCUCUGGUACUUGAGUGACACACUAACCUCAGCUCUAGUAGAUCAUGUGUACAAUGUGAUCUUACAUGUUGUUGUUCCUUUUUUCAUUUUUUUUGUAAACUUGUUAUGUCCAAGGUUGUAUUACUCCUUUCUGUUCAAGAACAUGCGAAAAAUGCUGAUUAUUUCAGUGCUUUGACUUUUAUUUCAUGUCUCAACAUGCUUUGUAAUUAAUCUUUGACUAUUUGUUACAUGUGCUGUUGCUUACUGAUGGGGUCAAGGAUUUCAAAUAACGUUUGUGAUUGAAACUGAGGAUUUGAAAUAAUGUUUGUGACUGAAACUGAAUAGAUAGAUUUGUAAGGCAACAGAGAUUCUCUGAUGAACUCUAUCUCAACGAAUUGUCACGGACUUAGCUAGUUUUGCCUAAAUCGUGCGGCACCCUUGCGUGUCCGUCCAUAAAGGUCAGCCUCCCCGAAACCUCCAAUGAUCCCUUAGGACCUACAAAAGAGAAAACGGGUUAAAGAAAGUGCCUCACUCGGGAUCCACAAGCAAAAUAUCAGAAAACACAUCAUAGUCAAUGCAAAUUACAAACAUACUUUACAAGCUCCGAACGGUUGCACAACAAAGGAUUUAAAAUGGUCUACUACAGACCGAAAUCUCCUACAAGUGUCCAUAUGACACAACCUUUAUUUACAAACCUAAAACGACCACCCAAACCCAACUAAAAUGGGGUUGUUAAGCCUUCGACCGUCCUUCUAUAUGCUGUGCAAGGCAUGAACAUACCAAAAGACACAGACAUACGUAAGCAUUACAUCAAACAUCCUGUUUAGAAGUUUGUCCGUGACAUUCUUCCCCACCCAUUCCUUCGACGUCCUCGUCGAAGCCUUUGCGACAUUGCAACUCCUCAUCUUUGCUGAGUCUUCAAUCUAUUGAUCUAGCUGCAAUGCACCUCUUGGCUCCCAGCUACUCUCCGCUACUGUUAUUGAGUAGUUGAAUUUUUGAUCCGCCAUGCUGCUUCAACUCGCUAAUGACUCUGACUCUAGUGUGGGGUUGGCUGAGUUGUGUUGAUUCCUGUUGGUUCCUGCGGAUCCUUCAGAUGAAGGAAAAGACUAUCCUUACUUUGCGCCAGUCUCUCAAAUGACUCAUGCUGCUUGAACUGGGUGGAUGCUUGUUGGAGCUUUGACGAGCAUCGCCUCGCAAAAUUUUGAUGUUUUUAGGUCAUUCCUCCAUAAAAUUUGUCCAUCGACUCUUCUUUCACUUAGUUAUCCCUUCUAAGUAGGUUCGCAUCACUUCGCUUUCGAUUGACAUUUCGUUGGAAAAUAAAGCGGACAAUCUACUCUCAAUAGCACUGAUCACCAUUGAUGAGGAUUUAACAACUAUUGUCUUCCAUUAUCUUCGAAUGGUCUUUGAACCUGUGCAGAACUACUCUGUUGGAUAAAUAAGAGAAUUGGGGUACUCGGUUUCGCCCAUUCUCUUAAGAGUUGAGAAGACAAAGGUUACUUGACUUCACCCGCCUCCUCGAGGGUUGUACUCCAUGUAUCGAGCUGAUUACUGGCCUUCACCUGCUCUUUGCUCAGACUUCUGAAGCACUUGAAGUGUUUGCACUCCUUGCGUUGAGUUAGUUACUGUGAUUCACCAUCUCAAUGUUAUCUUAACUUCUAGAAUGCAGGAAGUUUUCACCCCAACUUGGAGUAAGUCUCUAGUAGUUUUGGUCGCCUCUAGGAUUGUACCGUCUUCUCCAUCAACCUUGUCGCCUACUCCACAGAGUAGCAAAGGUACAGUACCGCGUACUCCACAGAAGUCCUUCACUUUCGGCUAUCUUGAUGAGAAGCUCAUUAACACCGGUCUUACGAAGUUCCCUAGCCUCUACCCUUCAGCCUUGUCUCAGUACUUGGAGUUUGCCUCUACAUUCUCCACCUCCUCGGCCCCUUUCACGACCAAGCGUUCUCCCUCCAUGAGAACAAGGGAUCGAUGACUUCACGGAAGUCCCACUUCUGCGGUACUAUGGCACUGCCAUGCCCAUGGCCCUACUAUCCGUCACCUCAUAUCUGCAUCCCUUUUCUUCAUUAUCAGUAGAUCUGCCUCUGUGGCACUUCUUCGAGGCCACCUCCAUUCUAACCGAUGCUUUGUUUUGGGUAGCUAAGUCCCUUUGGACUCGUCGUCACUUCCUUGCCCCUUUCAACCCCCUACUUCAACACCUCUGUAUACUCCAAGCAGUUCCCCUUGGUCGACGGAAAGACAGACUGCAACUCUCAUGCAUGGCCUCUGCCAUCAUGUUGUAGGGUUUGCACCAAUUCUAUUCUCCUUAGUUUCCUUGGUAGCAACGUUCGCUUACUCGACCUUGUCCUUUGACUUGCCGGGCUCCCUUAAGUGAAUAUGAGCUCUAGAGUAGUCCAACUCUCCAACCGCUCCGAUCAUACCUCUGUAUGAUCAAGUCCCCUCAUGGGACUUCCUGGUACUUGCAUUCGAACUUUUCUUUCGAUGUUACACAACCCCCAUAUGCUGAUAACCAAGGCUUUCAUCCGAUAUAAUAUUCGAUGCAUGCACGGAAGACCCGCCUCUGCGAUACCAUGACAUUCACUCCUUGAAUUCAUAGCCUUUCUUACCACCGUGUUGUUCAUCGAAGUGGAACUCCCAGUAGCUCCCGAUCAUUCCUCCGUAUGAUAUAGUCCCUUACGGGAUUAUAUUCGUGUGUAUCGCAUUGCCACGAACUGUUCCACCACGAUCCGUUGCACCAUGUCGCCUUUUGGUGACAUCUCCAUUGCAUUCUGAUCCUUGUGGGAUGAACUCGGAUUGUGAUCCCUUCAUGUGUGACCUCUGCCAAUACAUCGUAGGGCCUCUUCAACUUUCAAUUUGUGUUCGCUCCUUUGGCAAUCAGUCUUUGUCCACUCGCUCUCGGGUCACACCUAGAUGAAGCACCACUCUAGGACAAUCUGUCACCUAGUAGCUCUCGAAGUCCACCGACUUCGCUGAAAUUGGUGCACUAUUGUCUAGAUCCUGGGUCUUUGAGCACCAUCAAGUAUGGUUGCCAACGUUGAGUCGUAGCUCAAACUCAGCCAUCCUAACCUUUGUGCGCUACGCAUUCUUUUCAACUUGCUUGUCCUCGUGGUGCCUCUUGCGCGAAGGGUUGGCCAUUCCUCUAAAUGCCACUCUCAGAUGCCCGCUCCUCUGAACGACUCCUUUUCCCUACAUCUUCAUGCCCGUUCUCCCCAAAACGGUCGCGCGUGCUGGCUGCCCUCAAUGCAGCCCCGCUAGGUCCCCCACGUUUGCAUGCCAAGUAUUUCUAUGAGUGCUUGUCUCGCUCUGAUACCAUCUGUCAUGGACUUAGUUGGUUUUGCCUAAGUCGUACGGCACCCUUACGUGUCCGUCCGCAAAGGUUAGCCUCCCUGAAACCUCUCAUGGUCUCUUAGGACCUACAAAAGAUAAAACGAGUUAGAGAAAGCGCCUCACUCGGGAUCCACAAGCAAACAUCUCAGAAAACACAUCAUAGCCAAUGCAAAUUACAAACAUACUUUACAAGCUCCGAACCGUUGCACAACAAAGGAUCCAAAAUUGUCCAUUACAAAUCGAAAUCUCUCACAAGUGUCCACAUAACAUAACCUUUAUUUACAAGCCUAAAACAACCAUCUAAACCCAACUAAAAUGAGAUUGUUAAGCCUUUGACCGUCCCUCUAUAUGCUUUGCAGGGUAUGAAUAUACCAAAAGAUACGGACAUACAUAAGCAUUACAUCAAACAUCCUAUUUAGAAGUUUGUCCGUGACAGAAUGGCUGUUAUAAUAUUUUGGUCUUUGUUAUAUACAUAUUUACAUGAAUUUUUCCUGUGAAAUUUAGUUUUGUGGUAUAAAGCACUAUUAUCAGCAUGGUUUCUUUACUGUUUAUCUAUAUCUAUAAUGUUUCAUGUUGUGUUUUUCUUGGACUGCUCAUUCAGUGCUGUUAAUUCCCUGCUUUUCAGUUUUUCACAAGGAAUCAAUAUUCUUGACCUUACAUGCGAUUCAAUUAUAGGCUUUUGGAAUUGUUCCUCCAUACUGAAACAUUAGCAUUUUUGUGACAAUGGAAAAUUUGAUUUGUUAUUCUUAUUUUUUGUAUUUCUUGGAGUUUUAAAGUAUGACAUUGGUAUGGACUUCAAAGUAAAUUGAACGGUGCAAUUCUGUAGUUCUGUACUAGAUGCCCUUAGUUCUGGAAGAUGAUGGACUGAAGUAGGUGCAGUGGCAUUGAUAUCACAUCACACACAGGUUCUUAAUGCUAAAGCCCACGCUGCUAAUUUUGUGGCCUUUACAUCUCCUAUCAUUUUUCUGCACUUUCUUCCUUUAGUUGUUGUCUAUGUCAUGUUUGCUAAUAUUCAUAAUCAAUAGAAGACUAUAAUAUAGUAUUCUAAGGUUAUGCUGUUUUUUGUCGACCUUCAGGGUUCUUUUUCAACACAUUCACUGAGUUGUAGUGCGUCAAGUAGAAGGGCAAUUGUGAGGUCCUUGAUUGUUCAGUUGCUGUAUAAAACACUUGUUUGUGCCCCUGAAGCAUCAUUUUGAAUUUAGGUAAGACUUCAAAACGAAUGUGUUCGAAAGGAAUAUGACCAUUUUUACCAUAGUUGUUAUUGGCUUUAAAAAAUAACAGAGGUAGUUUUUUAAGAUAAAGGAAUACAUGCUAUGGAUUGUUAAUUUUACUAGAGUAAUUGUUACUUGUAGGCUUGUUUAAUUUAAUGUUGCCCAAUAUCACUAUAUCCCCUCUUUGCAGCUAUCUAUGAUUGGAUCUAGAAUCAGGUUCAGAGUACUUUGCUUCCUGGAUUUGCAGUGGUACAUGUCCGGAAUGCAGAAAUUUGUUGUUUGGUUUCAUUGCUAUGGUUACCAUGUUAUCCAAAAUGAAUGGUCUAAUCCACAAAACUCACCCCCGCAGUUUGAAGAAGGUUAACAUAUUCAGCCUUACCUAUACAAAUAAAGAGGUCAUUUCCAUUGACUUUACAAACCUAAGUUGAGGACAAAAAGUCAAACUCAUCAUGGAGAUAAGGCCAACCUUUGAAGUCAUUUUUAUUAUAACAUUUUUCCUCCCACUAUUCAGUAUCUUGUUGGGACGUUUCUCACUAUUCAGUAUCUUGUUAGGACAUUUCUUAAGCUUAAAAAAUUUGGAAUUUGAACAUCGUCUCUGAUUUUUAUUCUGCUGUUAGUGUUACAUUUACUUUGUUCGCUAUAAACGGUGUAGAUUGGUAAUUGUCUUUGACUCUUUGUUUGGUUAAAUAUAUUGCAGUGUUGUUGAAAAUGUUUAGCUUAUGAUAAAACUUUUGGUGACUUUAUGGUGAAAAUUUGCAAUCAACUGAAUGAAUGCAUUCCUCUUGAUGACAUCGUGAUACAGUAUUGAAUGUGGAAGUGUACUGCCAAAGUGAUAGUGACCUUUUGUUGCCCGUGUUAUGAUGACCAGUUGAUUUUGCAAGAGGCAAAUCAUAUCUUACAAAUGGGUAUGGUAUAAGAUAACAGACAUGAUAGUAUACCUUACAUGCUGAUAUUGGCUGACAUGGAGGCCUAACAUUUUCAGAACCACGUGAAUAGAUGUUGGUGGAUUACUUUUUAUAGUUUUGAUUUUUUGGAACCUUUUUAUGUGCUUAUCUAUCAUAAAAUGGAACAAAUAAGUUUUGAUAGCAAGGAAUUUCUAUUUGUUUUUGGGCCAUUGUAUGGAAUAAAUAAGUUUUGAUAGAAGGAUUUUGUGGCACACAUCUUUUUCAAAUAAAUGGUCUUAGUUAAGGAAAGUUGAGAUUGAAUUCCAAAUACCAUUCAGUCAGCUAACACCCCAUGGUGCCUUAUUUUCUUUUCGUUCAAGAAUUUCGACUUCUUUUACUCUUUUGAUCGGCUUAGUUAGUUAGUAUUUGUUGAUAAGAUCUAUCACUAUGUUUAGAUUCCUUGGUCUUACCACUUCAAUUGAGGAUCCAACCUAACUCCAUGAGGUUGACUACGAUGGGCAAAUUUCAUCAUAAAAAACAGGUUAUUAAAUAUAUGUGUACUAGCCUUUGGCAUAUUAUUUUUCAUCGUAGUCUUUUGGAGGACAAUAAAAUGAAUUUUUUGUCCAUUUUUUAUGAGUAUGUGUUUCUUCAGUAGUUUGGUAUCAUGAAAUUAAUUUUAGGUACCCAUGAAAUAGUUUGUAUUAAAGAAUAUUUUGGUUGUUCAAGGUGUUGGGCGCGGAGCGAACCUCGAUUGAAGCUCGGGUCUAUCAUCAAUUUGAUGUUGGGAGACAAGUAGGUUUGGUAGAAGAUCCUACAAAACUAAAAAAGGGGCAUGCCCGACAAAAGCCUUUCCAAAGUAUAGUUGGAGAAACGUAACAUUUGCUUCAAAGGGUUCAAAAGGGGUGUUAAGUGACUUGCUCUUAGGGUUUCGAGGGUUUUUUUGCCUUUUAGGCGUAGUCGGAGAGGAAGGGAAUACGGUGUUGGUGACGGUUUGUGUCUUCGGACAAGAAGAGGAGACCGAUGAAGAGGUCACCGGCAUUCUCUCUCUUCUCCAAAACCCUCUGCUUCAUCUAUCGCCCUCGUCCCGCCGAUGCUCUACUUUCCUCCUCCUCCUCUUACUCCGUCGCCGCUACCGGAAGCGGAGCUCUUCAGCCCAGCAUCAUGGCCGAAUACCUCGUCACGUCAUGUGGCUUCUCCCCGGAGAAUGCGACCAAGGCCUCGAAUCUUCUCGGCGGCAUCACGUCCCGCCGGCAGCCCGACUCCGUCCUUGGCUUUCUCAAAAGCCACGGUUUCGACGACACCCAUAUGAAAGACCUGCUGUCUUGGAACCCCCGGUGUCUUCUCCUCGACGUGGAGACGACCCUAGCUGCCAAGUUCCGAUCUCUCCAGGAGUUAGGCUUCUCGCAGUCCGACAUCACCCACCUCGUCCUGGCCAAUCCCUUCGCAAUCAACUAUGACGUCCGCACCGUGGUGCACAAGAUCCGGUUUUGGCAGGGACUCAUCGGAUCCAACGACGUCCUCGUAAAUCUCUUUAAGAGCCGCCGGUGGUUUCUCGGGUUUAGCAUCGAGAAGAGGAUCCAGCCAAACAUCGAGAUGCUACGGAGCUGUGGAAUCACGGAUCAAAAGCUUAGAACGAUCCUGAGGUACCGGCCCACGAUGGUAACCCAGAGGGCGGAAACCUUGAGGGCUUUGAUCAGUCGUGUCGAGGGAUUCGGAGUACCCCGCACUUCGGGGAGGUUCCACUGGACUCUGUUGAUGCUCUCCACUCUUAGCGUGGAGAGAUGCAAUGCGCAAAAGAAGCUAUUCGAGGCCUUCGGGUGGUCAGAGGCCGACUUCCUCGAUGCAAUCAGAAAGACUCCUUUUUUCUUGACAGGUUCCCUGAAGAAUCUGAAGAUGAAAAUGGAAUUCUUGGUGAAUGAGGCUGGAUAUGCUCCGUCUUAUAUCGCCCUCCGGCCUGUGCUCUUGACACUUAGUUUAGAGAAAAGGUUGAUCCCAAGAUAUCAGCUCAUGGCAGCCCUGAAGUCCAGGGGGCUGUGCGCUGGUCAUCCCAAAUCGGUCACAUAUAUGCUGUGUCCAGAGAAGAAGUUCUUGGAAAGGUAUGUCAUCAUCUACAAGAAGCAGUUUCCGGAGCUCAUUGAAUUGUACAGUGCGAGAAAAUAGUAGUUCUGGAUUAGCUAGCUGUAGGUUUUGGCUCCUGCAAUCCAUGGUUUCUGGUUCCAGCCUUUUACUCUCUGCUUAACUUGAUCUGCAGUUUGAGACUUAUUAGUAAUAUGAUUUAUGUCAUUUGCUUCCUUUUUUUCUGGUGCAUUAAGAGGAAUGUAGCUGCAUACAUGUAGAAAGAAAGGAAAGCAAUAUGAAGUGGAACACAAUGACUUCUUGUAGCAUGUUGAUUCGGUCAAUUGUUUCCUGAUAAUUUCCUGCAUAGGAAAAAUUAUAUACUCUAGGAAUUUGUAGGAAUUGAUACUGUUGUCCCAUUCUUUUUUUUAACCUACUUCUGGGAACACAUUUGGCAGACAUGUGUGCUUGUGUGUGUGUGUGUGUGUGUCGUAGACUAUGAAACUGAAACCAAUUCUUUGUUUGAUCUAUGGCUCUCCUUGAUGUGCAUUGAAGUAGAUGCUUUGCUUAUGUUGUAGCUGAUAUCAUUAUGUUAUCAUGAAAAAUUUUGUCAUAACCCGGGCCUGAUAGGCUAACUGAUCUAUCAACUUCGUUUGGUCUAAACCACUGAUUAAAAUGUUUAAGCUGAAGUUAAUAAUAGUACACUCAUCAGACUCUUAUAAGUCAAUCUUAAUCUUGCCCACUUCCGAUUAGGGACAAAUCAGGGGUGUUACAAAUUUUGAGAUGAUGGUUUCAAAGGUCACAUUACUAUUACACUAUGGAGUUAUAUGGUUGCAUCCUUUUUUUCUCCUUUUAAUGAAAAAUUGGUGCUUUGCAAUUAGCUACUAGUGAAGUUCAUGUUUAUUUUGAUACGAUACGUCGAAUCUACGUGGAUGUUGUCUAAGAUUGAUCUAAUUUUGGUCAAUUUCUCAGCUGAAUCAGCUAUAAUCGUUUGAAAAUACUUUGAGUUUAUUGAUUUUUGGGUGAAUUUUACACUACUUGAUGACCUCAAACUCAAAGGGAAGAAAAAAGAAAGACGGAUGGAGAAGAAGAAAGAAAAGAGGAAAGUUGAGAUGGUGAAAAGAUAAAAGAAAAGAGAGAAAACUGUGAUUGUGAUUCUAAAUCAGAGGAGGGAACAUUGCUUUUGCUUUGCUUGCUAUUCACUGCAUCCAUCCACUGCAUUUGUUGUUUACUACUCCAUCCAUCGGGUAGAAUAGUGGACCCCAUCGGUCUUAGCUCCCUUUCCUUCUGUGAGAAAUACUUGUUAAUGAUUUAUACAACACUAAUUUUAGCCUAAUUUCAAUCUAUCGAGAUGUCAAAAUAUCAGUAAAAAAAGAAGAAAAUUAGCUGAUAAAUGAAUACGUGAAUAAAUUUGUGGCACAAACUCUUGUCUCGUCACAGAACCAUCGUAUAGUUGUACUAAGAUAAUAACAUUAAUCUAAAAAUCCAUACACAAAUAGAUAGAUUAUAUAUAUAUAUAUAUAUAUAUAUAUAUAUAUAUAUAUAUAUAGACACACACACGCACAAACCUCAUCCAAAUCCCCUUUCUCUGUCCCCAUUCUCCGUCCGCGAUACAUCGUCGUCGCUUUCCUUCGACAAAUGCGGAGAGAAGACAAAGAUUUGGAAUUCGACCGCUGGCCAAUUCGAAGCCCCAUUUGGUUUGGCUCCCCCCUUUCCUCCUUCCUCCCUUUUCUUGCUCCGAAUUAAAUCUUCUUAUGUGACGUUUGUCGUCUGAAACGACGAUUCUCUUUGCUAUCAUGCAUUUGAUUCGUCUACACGAGGAGGAUUGUGGUUUGAAUUAAAUGAGUACUGUGGGUUAUCUACUUGUUUUCAUGAUAAAGGGGAAUGACAAAGAAAGUCUGACAAAAAUGCCAACCAUGACAUGAAUCCCAACACAUUAUUAUGUUCCGCUGAAGUUUCAUUGGACUUAGCCAGUGUAAUUCUUUCAUUAAUUUGUUUAAUGCUUAUAAGGAGCAACAUACAGUUGGAUGACGUGUCCAAUGUAUCCAAAUUGUGAAAUUGGAGCUAUAAUUUCUCCCGUUGCACUACACAUUCGAUGACCUAGAAGUGGCAGAAAAUGAAAUAUAACUUUUACAUCGCAGUUUUAAUACUUAGAUGCAAGUGUUGGGAAUCUCAUUAGUUAUUGGAAUCGACAAGACACUUUAUAUGAUCCACAUGUCCAAUAAUAAUAAUGACCAAACACAUUUAUCAACUAGUCAUAAAUGAGAGACUUUUCAGAUAUUUAAAAUUAUUUUAAAUUGUUUUGAUGAUGAAAGAAAGCAUUAAGUAUACUUUAAAAAAAAAAUAAAGGAUUGGUGUCCCUUUUCUGGCCUAUCUAUACCAUCAAGGGAUAGACAUUAAGUUCCAUAAGACAUAUAUUAGAAGACACCAGUUGUUUCUUAAUAAAUUAAUCUAAGGAAUCCAAUAUGUGAAAUAAUCAAAGGCUUACUCUUGGACAACUAUGACUCAAGGUAAGUUUAUUUCGUUUCAUGUCCAAUAUAAAUCCAUUGUUUUGCUUACAACAAGAGCAUUUCAAAUCUGUAUGUAUAUGAGUUUUCUAAUCUACUGUUCUCAAUAUUAUUUUUUAAAACUACAUAGAAAGAAAAGAAAAGUGGUGGAUAAAAAUGUAAUAUUUACAUGGUAAUUUUAACUUUUAGAUACAAGUGCACUUCGAGCCUGUUUGCCUUUGCAUUUUAUAAUUAUUCUUUUUGAAUAUUGUUCUUCAACACUACUUAGAAAGAAAACACAAGAAGGUGCUACAAAGGUGCAUACACAGACUUCUUGAAUUUUUGCUGCAAGAAGUACUCGUGACACUUGUUUUAUGGCACAAAAAGUGCUGUUCGUUUCAAUGGUACUUGAGUGACACACUAAACUCAGCUCUAGUAGAUCAUAUGUACAAUGGGAUCUAACAUGCUGUUGUUCCUUUUUUCAUGCUUUUUGUAAACUUGUUAUGUCCAAGGUUGUAUUACUCCUUUCUGUUCAAGAACAUGCGAAAAAUGCUGAUUAUUUCAGUGUUUUGACUUUUAUUUCAUGUCUCAACAUGCUUUGUAAUUAAUCUUUAAUUAUUUGUUACAUAUGCUGUUGCUUACUGAUGGGGUCAAGGAUUUCAAAUAACGUUUGUGAUUGAAACUGAGGAUUUGAAAUAAUGUUUGUGACUGAAACUGAACAGAUAGAAUUGUAAGGCAACAGAGAUUCUCUGAUGAACUCUAUCUCAACGAAUGGCUGUUAUAAUAUUUUGGUCUUUGUUAUAUACAUAUUUACAUGAAUAUUUCCUGUGAAAUUUAGUUUUGUGGUAUAAAGCACUAUUAUCAGCAUGGUUUCUUUAUUGUUUAUCUAUAUCUAUAAUGUUUCAUGUUGUGUUUUUCUUGGACUGCUCAUUCAGUUCUGUUAAUUCCCUGCUUUUCAGUUUUGUUUCUGUCCUCUCUCUAUAUGUGUUUUCCACAAGGAACCAAUAUUCUUGACCUUACAUGCUAUUCAAUUAUAGGCUUUUGGAAUUGUUCCUCCAUACUGAAACAUUAGCAUUUUUGUGACAAUGGAAAAUUUGAUUUGUUCUUCUUAUUUUUUGUAUUUCUUGGAGUUUUAAAGUAUGACGUUGUUAUGCACGUGAAAGUAAAUUGAACGGUGCAAUUCUGCAGUUCUGUACUAUAUGCCCUUAGUUCUGGAAGAUGAAGGACUGAAGUAGGUGCAAUGGCAUUGAUAGCACAUCACACACAGGUUCUUAAUGCUAAAACCCAUGCUGCUAAUUUCGUAGCCUUUACAUCCCCUUUCAUUUUUCUGCACUUUCUUCCUUUAGUUGCUGUCUAUGUCAUGUUUGCUAAUAUUCAUAAUCAAUAGAAGACUAUAAUAUAGUAUUCUAAGGUUAUGCUGUUUUUUGUCAACCUUCAGGGUUCUUUUUCAACACAUUCACUGAGUUGUAGUGCAUCAAGUAGAAGGGCAAAUGUGAGGUCCUCGAUUGUUCAGUUGCUGUAUAAAACACGUGUUUGUGCCCCUGAAGCAUCAUUUUCAUUUUAGGUAUGACUUAAACACGAAUGUGUUCGAAAGGAAUAUGACCAUUUUUGCCAUAGUUGUUAUUGGCUUUAAAAAAUAACAGAGGUAGUUUUUUAAGAUAAAGGAAUACAUGCUAUGGAUUGUUAAUUUUACUAGAGUAAUUGUUACUUGUAGGCUUGUUUAAUUUAAUGUUGCCCAAUAUCACUAUACCUCCUCUUUGCAGCUAUCUAUGAUUGGAUUUAGAAUCAGGUUCAGAGUACUUUGCUUCCUGGAUUUGCAGUGGUACAUGUCCGGAAUGCAGAAAUUUGUUGUUUGGUUUCAUUGCUAUGGUUACCAUGUUAUCCAAAAUGAAUGGUCUAAUCCACAAAACUCACCCCCGCAGUUUGAAGAAGGUUAACAUGUUCAGCCUUACCUAUACAAUUAAAGAAAGAGGUCAUUUCCAUUGACUUUACAAACCUAAGUUGAGGACAGAAAGGCAAACUCAUCAUGGAGAUAAGGCUAACCUUUGAAGACAUUUUUAUUAUAACAUUUUUCCUCCCACUAUUCAGCAUCUUGUUGGGACAUUUCUCACUAUUCAGUAUCUUGUUAGGACAUUUCUUAAGCUUAAAAAAUCUGGAAUUUGAACAUCGUCUCUGAUUUUUAUUUUGCUGUUAGUCUUACAUUUACUUUGUUUGGUAUAAACGGUGUAGAUUGGUAAUUGUCUUUGACUCUUUGUUUGGUUAAAUAUAUUGCAGUGUUGUUGAAAAUGUUUAGCUUAUGAUAAAACUUUUGGUGACUUUAUGGUGAAAAUUUGCAAUCGACUGAAUGAAUGCAUUCCUCUUGAUGACAUCGUGAUAUAGUAUUGAAUGUGGAAGAGUACUGCCAAAGUGAUAGUGACCUUUUGUUGCCUCUGUAUUAUGAUGACCAGUUGAUUUUACAAACUAGACCAUUAUAGUUUGGCUGAUUGAUUUUGCAAGAGGCAAAUCAUAUCUUACAAAUGGGUAUGGUAUAAGAUAACAGACAUGAUAGUAUACCUUACAUGCUGAUAUCGGCUGACAUGGAGGCCUAACAUUUUCAGAACCACAUGAAUAGAUGUUGGUGGAUUGCUUUUUAUAGUUUUGAUUUUUUGGAACCUUUUUAUGUUCUUGUCUCUCAUAAAAUUGAAUAAAUAAGUUUUGAUAGAAGGAUUUUGUGGCACACAUCUUUUUCAAAUAAUUGGUCUUAGUUAAGGAAAGUUGAGAUUGAAUUCCAAAUACCAUUCAGUCAGCUAACACUGCAUGGUGCCUUUUUUUCUUUUCGUUCAAGAAUUUUGACUUCUUUUACUCUUUUGAUCGGCUUAGUCAGUUAGUAUUUGUUGAUAAGAUCUAUUGCUAUGUUUAGAUUCCUUGGUCUUACCACUUCGAUUGAAGAUCCAACCUAACUCCAUGAGGUUGACUACGUUGGGCAAAUUUCAUCAUAAAAAAUAGGUUAUUAAAUAUAUGUGUACUAGUCUUUGGCGUAUUAUUUUUCAUCGUUGUCUUUUGGAGGACAAUAAAAUGAAUUUUUUAUCCAUUUUUUAUGGGUAUGUGUUUCUUUAGUAGUUUGGUAUCAUGAAAUUAAUUUUAGGUACCCAUGAAACAGUUUGUAUUAAAGCAUAUUUUGGUUGUUCAAGGUGUUGGGCGCGGAGCCAACCUCGAUUGAGUAGGUUAGGUAGAAGAUCCUACAAAACUAAAUCAGAGGCAUGCCCGACAAAAGUCUUUCCAAAGUAGAGCUGGAGAAAUGUAAUAGUUGCUUUAAAGGGUUCAAAGGGCUGUUAGGUGACUUAGCAUACCUAGGACAUUUUAUAUAAAGCUUUGGUAAUCGUCAAUAUUAAGUGGGAAGUUAAUUUGUGGAAUUAUUAAGCGUUACUCGAUCGUGGAGAGUUAACCAAACCAUCAGGACAUUUCCAUUAGCAUAGUCGUGCGAACUUGGUAUAUUAUAGUUGUCCAAUGUGUUGGGCCAUGGAGCUAACCUUGAUUCAAGCUUGGGUCUAUUGUCAGUUUAAUCUCGCUAGAUGAUUGGGUUCAAUAGGGGCAUAUGCAAAAUUUAGUCGGGGACAUACCAAACAAAAGUCUUUGAUGCUUAUGUUAGUAUAUCUAGAGAAAUGUAAUGUAGGAUUCGGAGGUUUCAAAGAGCACUACCUAGGGCUUUUUAAUAAGGGUUUUGAUUACCAUCAAAAUUAAGUGGUUUCGUUGGAUUGUUGGGUGUUACUCGGAUGUGAGGAGUCACUCAAACCGUUAAGAGAUAUAUGGCAGCUUCAUGGCUGGAUUUGACCAUAUUAGAGAUACAGGGAGUUUCGUGGCUAGAUUCGAUCGCAUUCGGGAUAGAGAAUAAUUCAUUAUCAUAUUCCAUUACAUCGUUGAUAAAGGAUACUUUAUGGUCAUAUUCGGCCACGUUGGAGAAAUGAUGCUUCAUGUCGAAGUCAAUUGCAUCGAGGGCUCGAGAUGCAUCUUGGCAACAUCAUCAAGCUUUUUUUAUCGUUUUUCUACCACAAGCCACUCCAACUACAAGCUCGACUUACCUUUGUUCUACAAUUGAAAUACGAUUUGCUUUAGUAACAACGUCAUAUUAAUUUUUGAUGAUUUGACAUUUUUGCCCUGAUACUUGAUCUUUUAUGUUUGAUUGGGGCCUUCCAUAUCGUGCACCACUCAAAUUAACGAAAAAGCUAAGGAUAAGGUAGUGAAGGCCUAACAAUGCCUGACCCCUAUAAAAGGGAGCCUUAGUUGUAUCUGAGCUUCCUACUUUACAAAGCCACCAUCUUUGAUACUAAACAAACAGGUGGCUGCAGUCUGUGGGCAAAGGCAUCCAUGGAAGCCACCUUCUUCAUUUUAGUAGGUAAAAGCAGUUAACCUUACCUGUCUUCCCCACCCGAUGAACAGCUUCCUUGAAGCUUCCUACAGUUUCUUGCACUCAGCUGAUUGGACUCAGAAAAUAAAUAUUUCAUCUUAUUUAAUGUCAGUUUUCAGAAUUAUAUACCCUCAGCAACCUUUUUUUUUUUCUAUUCAAGGACAUAAAACUGCUUUGUUGAUAAAUUUUGCUGUUAAUCUCGAGUUUUGGUAAAUUGAGAGCUAUGUCAUGAUGUCUUUAGAACUAAAUUUGGCACAACAGGAUAAAUUUCUAGCAUGCUUCUUAACCCUAAUGUUAGAAACCUAGUGGAUUCAGGUACAUGUUGCAUGAAACUCCACACACUCAUCAGGCUUGAUUGAAUUUUUAUGAGACUCACAUCGUGACAUCCAAGUUGAUGCUAAUUUAAUGAUUUAGUUUGAGGAGUCAUUACAUCCAAAUGCGAGCUUACUCAACGCACUUGAUCAGUGUCAUAGGAAACAUAUAUAUUAUCAUGAUAGAGUAUGAAAGCUUAGAUUAGGUAUAUAAAACACUAAGUGAUAGACAGAGUAGUAUCAGCAUGAAUAUGAAUGUUAGCUAGAUAUAUAAUUCAUGGUGUAGGAUUCAUGACAAAGGAGGUGAGUUGUACAUUAAAAGUUGUCUUAGUUGCCCAGUGAAGAAAAAAAAGGCUUUUUCAUUAAGUUCAUGAACCUGAAACACUGGUCCAAAGUGUUUAUUCAUUUAUUUUAUGAGCCUUGAAGUAUUUUUUUGUUCAUCAUCUCGACCCAGUCUGAUAACUUAUUAAUUUGAUGAGUAUGAAACACUAAUUCAAAGCACUUGCAUCCAUAUUAAUGAAAAUAGACUUAUUUAACAAUCUGCCCCACUUAUGUUUAACAUAUUGAACUUUACACUCAGCCAUCUUUUCUGGUUUGGGUACCUCAUCAUGCCCAUUAAUAAAUCCCCCUUGAUAUGAUUUGUCACAACUUGAUCUGAGGAGAUAUCUUAAUAACAUUAUGAAUCUGAACUAAGUGCUUAGGCCAAAGUUAAUAACGAUAAACUUAUGUAGCUCUAUAUACCAAUUUGAUUGAGCUGUUGUAUGUGAUGUAGAUCUAAACAUGCGGCAUCACAUUCUUUUAUCCUGCUAUAAAUGCUCCUCAUCUUCAUGGCUUCACCUAAACAUCACUUGAAGUCCUCACAAGAACAGCCAUGUCUUCUCUUGGAGCCAGCUAUGCUUACAUCCAUGAACUGAGGAAACGCUGCAAGGAAAUGGAGAGGAAGAAGACAGAUGGUGGUGUGGCCACAGAGGAGAAGAGCUCCAAGGGAAGAGUUCAUCCUAGUGACACCCCUUCACCAGUGUGUCGUGAAGAACGAGGUGAAGGUAAUUGUUGGAGAAGCUCGGUCACCAAAUAAAUCCCCAAAAAAGAAAGAUGAUGAAUUAUUGGGUGUUGAUGGGGGGCUUGUUUUACAUUUAGACAAUGCUAUGUCCACAUAUAUAUAUUUUGCCUUCCAAUGUUCCAAGUCUCUUUAGUAGGGAAAUGUGGGAGGAAUAAUCAUCCAAUUGUUUUCUUUUUCUCUACCUAGAUACGACAGAAAUAGAUGUUGCUUUCAUUAUUAACAUAGUCAGGUUCAUAGCCAUAUGGAAGUUUUUUUAAUGAAUAUUUUUCUUCUAUCAUAUCAAAUUGCACACAAGAUACAAGCUCAACAAUGGAUGGUAAUAUUAUGGAAUAAUCACAUUUAUGGCCAACUAAGGAUCAGAAUAUUUUAAGGAUGGUAAUAUGUAUCCUAGAGAUUAUCCAAACUCAACAAUGAAGACAACAACAAUUGAAGUUUGUAUGCGGGUUUCAAUUUUACUUAUAACUUAAAUUCAUCUUUGAUAAGAAUGAUCUCUCAGCUGAUUGUUAGGGUUGACAAGUAUUUUAAAAAUAAAUUUAUUUGGAGGAUAAAAAAUUUAAAUUUUAUGAAAAGAAAUUUUUGUGAAUCAGAGUUUAGUUGUCUUGUAAAUAUCUAAUAUAUCUCAACGUCUUAACAAGACAUCAUGAAAAAAAAAAAAAAAAAAAAAAAACCCUUGGUGGUGAUAAUUUUAUACUGAUAAUUUUGAGCUUUUAUCUAUCAGAUUAUUUUAAUGUCCCUCAGACAACUUUUUGCUCGUGUCAAUCGAUCCUGUUGCCCAAGUGCAAGAAUUCUGGCAUCUUGAUACUGAAUUUGCUCCUUUUUUUUUCUUUUGUUUUCUUCUAUUUCCGUUCUUUGGGUUGUAGACUUUGUGCUCUAAUUUUGAGUUGGAUUUCCUAUAGUCUGAAAAGCUAUUGCUCUUCUUCGUUCAUAAUCAGCCAUAUUUUUGCUCCUUUGGCUUUCAGAAUCUGGUUGGAGCAAGCAAGUUCUUUUAUGGAUGUCAUCUUUGGCAUGGAUUGACGACCUCCAAGCAGAAGCAUUCCUCUGAUCUGAUCACCAGGCCUACUCAAUCGUGGUCCUCGAUGAACAUGAGAUAAAAGUACCUUGGCCUGCUUACAAAGUACAAGCUUCCAAGUGCAAGCUUCCUCUUGUUAACUCAAACAUAGACUGGAGUAGCUUUAAGAGGAUACCAGCUACUCCUAGAGUCCUUAACUUUCUGCUUAGAACUUCA
Molecule: long non-coding RNA, 23286 nt
Filed under: Musa acuminata (dwarf banana)
Lineage: Eukaryota; Viridiplantae; Streptophyta; Magnoliopsida; Zingiberales; Musaceae
Description: long non-coding RNA (MACU_LNC006498)
Rfam family: tRNA (bases 4563-4634)
Source: RNAcentral